GAUGAACGCUGGCGGCGUGCCUAAUACAUGCAAGUCGAGCGAACAGACGAGGAGCUUGCUCCUCUGAUGUUAGCGGCGGACGGGUGAGUAACACGUGGAUAACCUACCUAUAAGACUGGGAUAACUUCGGGAAACCGGAGCUAAUACCGGAUAACAUGUUGAACCGCAUGGUUCAACAGUGAAAGACGGUCUUGCUGUCACUUAUAGAUGGAUCCGCGCCGCAUUAGCUAGUUGGUAAGGUAACGGCUUACCAAGGCAACGAUGCGUAGCCGACCUGAGAGGGUGAUCGGCCACACUGGAACUGAGACACGGUCCAGACUCCUACGGGAGGCAGCAGUAGGGAAUCUUCCGCAAUGGGCGAAAGCCUGACGGAGCAACGCCGCGUGAGUGAAGAAGGUCCUCGGAUCGUAAAACUCUGUUAUUAGGGAAGAACAAAUGUGUAAGUAACUAUGCACGUCUUGAUGGUACCUAAUCAGAAAGCCACGGCUAACUACGUG
This 497-nucleotide ribosomal RNA is filed under the name uncultured bacterium. Its description in RNAcentral is "partial 16S ribosomal RNA". It matches the Rfam family "Bacterial small subunit ribosomal RNA", at positions 28 to 507 of the family's 1533-position model. The record is from RNAcentral.